CAACAAGUGUUCCCAAUCUCGGAGCCAUUUCUCCAGCCCUAAAGCAGAUUAAAAUGAAACAAAACAAAAUUGACAAAACUUCUUGACACAAACACUUCCUUUAGUUUAUAGUUACCGCCCAAACAGGAUGAGCUGUGGGUUUCAAAAGGCCACUGUCUGCCUCCCUUCAGUGGUCCGCAAGUGUUGGAUCCACUUACAGCCUGCAUGCUAGAAAGCCCAAGUAUUUGAACACCAGGCUCUUUCAUUUCUGCCUCCUCGGUGCUAAAUGGCUCUGCCCUGUGACUGCAUCGGAACUUAAGAGUCAGUGACUCCAACACAAGAUAGAUUCCAUCCAGCUCAUCUCUACAUUCUCGAGGCUGGCUUUGAUAACGACCACGACGGGCCAAGGGGACUGCUGUCUGUGGACGCGAUUCCCGGGAGGGAAGGACAUGCUGAGUCCUGAUAUAAAACACCCCAAACGGGAUGCUUCUUCCCUUUUGAUUUUAUGGUGGAUUUUGAACAGUGAUGCCGAUAAAGACAGAAUUCCCAUCAAGAGCCAAACAGUAUCCCCGGCACAGAGGAAACGUGAGCUUCUGAGAACAGACCCAGUUGAAUUUGCGCAGAGGGCUCCAUCAAUGCAGAAGGCAUGCAGCCAAGCAGGGUGUUGAGUCUUCUGUGUCGGGGAUGUGACCCCUUCUACAGAAGCUUUCCCCACUGUCUGAUUCUGAAAGAGCGGUUUAUCUACCCUUGAUCAUCAGACUCUCAUCAUUCCUUUGCCUCCCUGGACGAUUCCACCUCGUGAAUAACAUGUCCUGUCUUGGUUUACCCCCGAGGUGAGCUGUGUCAAUACUGAGUGUUCUCUCUAGUGGCAGUCUUAACGCUACAAAGAGAAGCGAAAAUCUUCCAUGAGUCAAUUCCAGGCCCCAGGAGCUCCAAGGAAGCAUCCGGGAAUUCCUGGCAUCAACGCUUCGUGUCUGUUACCCCAACGUGGAACUUGUUGAAUUAUGCAAGAAUUUUCACUGGAAAGACAGUUGUUUAGGCCCAGAAUGUGUCCCGGCUGUGGUUCAUUCCAUGAUUAGAGCUCUGGGAUGGCUUUGGUCCUCGAAAGACUUGGUCCCUGCUUUGCUUCCUAUUGCACACUGAGAAUCUUCAUCCUUUUUUUUUUUUUUUUUUUUUUUUUUAGCUAGAUUCUCCUGACAGGGGAGAGAAGAGCACUGUCUAUGGUUUUUGUUUGUUUGGAUUGCUUUGUUUUUAAUUUCCUCUGCCUUUUCUCCCCUCCAAAAACAUAGAAGGGGGUUAAAGUCAUAAAUUCAUCUUUACCAUAGACACCCUGAGUUAUUUUCCAUUGCAAAAAAAUAAAAUCUGUUCCAAGUAA
This is a long non-coding RNA of Mesocricetus auratus (golden hamster), 1354 nucleotides long. RefSeq lists it as uncharacterized. NCBI's taxonomy places the organism in Eukaryota, Metazoa, Chordata, Mammalia, Rodentia, Cricetidae. The record is from RefSeq and is a predicted model, not a curated record. The transcript has 2 exons.